AUAUAGCCAAGAACCGUCAAGUCAGGAAGAAGUACACUACUCAGUUAGGAGAGAACGAGCUAGUCCUCAAGAUUUCCUUGGGUUUUCGUUAUUUUUCUGACUGAAUUGAUUGAUUAAUUAUUUAGCUUUCAAAUGAUUUUUGAUGAUUAUUUGUUCUUUUGCUGGAAAAAAAAUGUUAUUAGGAGUUGGAUUUAUUAAACGAGGAUGCAAAUGUGUACAAGUUGAUAUGUCCAGUGCUUGUGAAACAAGAUUUAGCGGAGGCUAACGCCAACGUUCGUAAGAGAAUUGAGUACAUCUCUGCUGAAUUGAAGCGACUUGAUGGAUCCCUUCAAGAUUUGGACGAGAAACAACACAGCAAGAGAGAAGCGAUAUUGAAGGUGCAGCAGAGGAUUCAAUCUCAUUGAGCCGGAAAAGCCAAGACUUAGCCCAUCUUCAUAUGUUUUGCCUUGGUGAACACUAUCAUUCUAGUGGCAUGAUAUUCUAUGACCCAUAGUUGUAAAAUCAUGAUUGCAUGUCUUGGUUGGAGCUGUAAUCCAGUGUUCUUGAACCAUAGUUGUAAAAGUUACAGUGUGUGGUUGCCUCUUUAACUAUGAUCCUUAACAGUCAUGGCAAGAUCAGAAGCUGUUCUAAGCAAUGCAUUUUCUGCCUUAUUGGUUUGAA
Molecule: RNA transcript, 660 nt
Organism: Gossypium raimondii (Peruvian cotton)
Lineage: Eukaryota; Viridiplantae; Streptophyta; Magnoliopsida; Malvales; Malvaceae
Exons: 3
Source: RefSeq, a predicted model, not a curated record